CCUACGGGAGGCUGCAGUGAGGAAUAUUCCGCAAUGGACGAAAGUCUGACGGAGCGACGCCGCGUGGAUGAUGAAGGCCGGAAGGUUGUAAAAUCCUUUUGUCAACGAAGAAUAAGCGGAGGAGGGAAUGUCUUCGUGAUGACGUUAGUUGACGAAUAAGCCCCGGCUAAUUACGUGCCAGCAGCCGCGGUAACACGUAAGGGGCGAGCGUUGUUCGGAAUUAUUGGGCGUAAAGGGCGCGUAGGCGGUUUUGCCAGCCUGAUGUGAAAGCCUGGGGCUUAACCCUGGAAUUGCAUUGGGAACUGCAAGACUUGAAUCAUGGAAGGGAAAUCAGAAUUCCAGGUGUAGGGGUGAAAUCUGUAGAUAUCUGGAAGAAUACCGGUGGCGAAGGCGGAUUUCUGGCCAAUGAUUGACGCUGAGGCGCGAAAGUGCGGGGAGCAAACAGGAUUAGAUACCCGAGUAGUC
This 465-nucleotide ribosomal RNA is filed under the name uncultured Treponema sp. RNAcentral describes it as "bacterial SSU rRNA". It matches the Rfam family "Bacterial small subunit ribosomal RNA", at positions 338 to 795 of the family's 1533-position model. The record is from RNAcentral. Lineage: Bacteria; Pseudomonadati; Spirochaetota; Spirochaetia; Treponematales; Treponemataceae.